Molecule: unclassified non-coding RNA, 148 nt
Organism: Pongo abelii (Sumatran orangutan)
Lineage: Eukaryota; Metazoa; Chordata; Mammalia; Primates; Hominidae
Rfam family: Metazoan signal recognition particle RNA
About the family: The signal recognition particle (SRP) is a universally conserved ribonucleoprotein.
Source: Ensembl
GCUGGGCAUAGUGGCUCAUGCCUGUACUCUCAGCUACUUGGGAGGUUGAGGUGGGAGGAUUGCUCGAGCCCAGGAUUUCAAGGCUGCAGUGAGCCAUGAUUGCACCACUGCACCCCAGCCUGGGCGACAGAGCAAGACCCUGUCUCAA